CAGUCGCCGCGGUAAUACGAAGGGUGCAAGCGUUACUCGGAAUUACUGGGCGUAAAGCGUGCGUAGGUGGUGGUUUAAGUCCGUUGUGAAAGCCCUGGGCUCAACCUGGGAAUUGCAGUGGAUACUGGGUCACUAGAGUGUGGUAGAGGAUAGUGGAAUUUCCGGUGUAGCAGUGAAAUGCGUAUAGAUCUGGAGGAAUACCGGUGGCGAAGGCGGCCAUCUGGGACAACACUGACGCUGAGGCACGAAAGCGUGGGGAGCAAACAGGAUUAGAUACCCCUGUAGUCCCUGUCUCUUAUAC
RNAcentral lists this ribosomal RNA (301 nucleotides) under uncultured bacterium. Its description in RNAcentral is "partial 16S ribosomal RNA". It matches the Rfam family "Bacterial small subunit ribosomal RNA", at positions 509 to 807 of the family's 1533-position model. The record is from RNAcentral.